Molecule: ribosomal RNA, 471 nt
Filed under: uncultured bacterium
Lineage: Bacteria
Description: bacterial SSU rRNA
Rfam family: Bacterial small subunit ribosomal RNA
Source: RNAcentral
AUUGAACGCUGGCGGCAUGCCUAACACAUGCAAGUCGAACGGCAGCACAGCAUGUAGCAAUACAUGUGGGUGGCGAGUGGCGGACGGGUGAGUAACGCGUGGGAAUCUGCCCUAUAGUGGGGGACAACCCGACGAAAGUCGGGCUAAUACCGCAUACGCCCUACGGGGAAAGGCUUCGGCCGCUAUUGGAUGAGCCCGCGUCGGAUUAGCUAGUUGGUGAGGUAAUGGCUCACCAAGGCGACGAUCCGUAGCUGGUCUGAGAGGACGAUCAGCCACACUGGGACUGAGACACGGCCCAGACUCCUACGGGAGGCAGCAGUGGGGAAUAUUGCACAAUGGGCGAAAGCCUGAUGCAGCAAUGCCGCGUGUGUGAAGAAGGCCUGCGGGUUGUAAAGCACUUUCGGUAGGGAAGAUUAUGACGGUACCUACAGAAGAAGCACCGGCUAACUCCGUGCCAGCAGCCGCGGUAAU